AUGCCAAGCUGGGAAAUCCCAGUAAACAUCGCACCCUUGUCGCUCCAAGGCAAGCUAUACUUGGUGCAAUUUCCUUGCGAUAAUGGCUCGCUGGUCUUCCAGAUGGAGGUUGGUUCGCCGUCGCUGCCGCCAAAGAUGAUUGCCACAUGCCCAGCAGAUAAGCUCUACGGCGGCUACCACCUUGUAGAAUGCGACUCGCAGAUCCUGCUUGCCGAGUAUACCGACAGCUCCAUGACACACAUUUUGAUCUACAAACUCGAGGACCUCAUCUUGGAGAGGUUUGUGCCGGUAACAAGCAUCGGAGACCGAUCCCUCUUCCUUGAGGAUAGGAGCCUGAAUGUCUGCUCCAAGGCACUGCCAACCAUCAUUGCUGAGACAGUUGUGUAG
Molecule: ribosomal RNA, 387 nt
Filed under: Triticum aestivum (bread wheat)
Lineage: Eukaryota; Viridiplantae; Streptophyta; Magnoliopsida; Poales; Poaceae
Description: partial small subunit ribosomal RNA
Source: RNAcentral